Molecule: long non-coding RNA, 544 nt
Organism: Candoia aspera
Lineage: Eukaryota; Metazoa; Chordata; Lepidosauria; Squamata; Candoiidae
Exons: 2
Source: RefSeq, a predicted model, not a curated record
UGAGAGGAAGAUGAGGACUGAGGAAGUCAUGGCUGAGUGAAGUUGAUGAAACUCAAAAAGAGGUGCUAUGGCCAGUGUUGGUCUAGAAAACAGAACAGGGGCACAUUUUUACUUUCAUGGGCAACUUUUCUGCAUUAAAUACACACAUAUGCCUCCUUUAAUAAAAGGAUUUGAAACAUCUUGAUGGCAUAACUGAGUGGUCUCAAAUUAUUUUAUCAGGUAUAGAGAAGCUUCCCUAUUUAUACAAUUGCUUGGAUGAACAGAAAUCUGGAGUAACUGCAAAUCUAACACAAAUGUAAAAGGAGCUCUCUUGGUUUGAUGUGCCAAUCCUUAGCAAAUUAGCUGUGGCCUUGUGGGAAAUAGAGAUUACACAUAUAUGGAAUAAACAUUUGUUACUGGACUGUAAAUCUUCAUACAUCCUUCCAUCACACAUUCUCUCCAGAGCUUAGAAGUAAUAGAUACAGUCAUAUUGAUUCUAUCCAUGAAAAUUAUGAAUCCACAUUUAUUGAUGAUAUGUACAUAAAAAAUCCAACAUUUAGUGAAA